CUACGGGAGGCACCAGUAGGGAAUAUUGCACAAUGGACGAAAGUCUGAUGCAGCAACGCCGCGUGUGCGAUGAAGGCCUUCGGGUUGUAAAGCACUUUUCUGAGGGAAGAGGAAGGACGGUACCUCAGGAAUAAGUCUCGGCUAACUACGUGCCAGCAGCCGCGGUAACACGUAGGAGGCAAGCGUUAUCCGGAUUUACUGGGCGUAAAGCGCGUGCAGGCGGUUCGGUAAGUUGGAUGUGAAAGCUCCUGGCUCAACUGGGAGAUGCCGUUCAAUACUGCCGGACUCGAGGACGGUAGAGGGAGGUGGAAUUCCCGGUGUAGUGGUGAAAUGCGUAGAUAUCGGGAGGAACACCAGUGGCGAAAGCGGCCUCCUAGGCCGUUCCUGACGCUAAGACGCGAAAGCAUGGGUAGCGAACGGGAUUAGAUACCCUAGUAGUC
This 440-nucleotide ribosomal RNA is filed under the name uncultured bacterium. Its description in RNAcentral is "partial 16S ribosomal RNA". It matches the Rfam family "Bacterial small subunit ribosomal RNA", at positions 339 to 795 of the family's 1533-position model. The record is from RNAcentral.